This 474-nucleotide long non-coding RNA is filed under the name Dasypus novemcinctus (nine-banded armadillo). RNAcentral describes it as "lncRNA (ENSDNOG00000052426.1)". Lineage: Eukaryota; Metazoa; Chordata; Mammalia; Cingulata; Dasypodidae. The record is from RNAcentral.
GUGGGCAGGAACCUUGGGUGGGAGAAGCAGCAAGGCUAAGCAGGAGGAGCAGGGGCCUUUGAGUUCUAGCCUAGCAGCAUGACAGGGAAAAGGUCACUUCCCAUCUCUGGGCCUCAAUUUCCUCAUUUGUAAAACAGGGAAACGCCACCAGAUCUUCGCCUUAGCAUUCCAGGAAUCUUUGAAAGUGGAAGGGCCUGCACUCAAACCAUCCUCCCUCAGCAAUGCUGGAUUGGAAGCUGAGCAAAGCCACUGUGGAGGAAGAGUGACUCCCUUUUCUCCACCUAUCAGGGGAGACCAAAAUGGACAACCCAGGCCUACAACCACCCACAAGAUACCCAACCCCGAUGGACAGCUGCUCUAGGCUCUGAAGGACGCCCUACUCCAUCUCCCUCUUCCUUCUUUACUUUUUAUCAGUCAAAAUGUUGUGAAACAAGAGCCAGUGCUUGUUUUCUUCAUGUUUUGCUGAAGCACAAA